RNAcentral lists this ribosomal RNA (272 nucleotides) under uncultured bacterium. Its description in RNAcentral is "partial 16S ribosomal RNA". The record is from RNAcentral.
CUGCUGCCUUCCGUAGGAGUCUGGUCCGUGUCUCAGUACCAGUGUGGGGGACCUUCCUCUCAGAACCCCUACGCAUCGUCGCCACGGUGGGCCGUCACCCCGCCGUCUAGCUAAUGCGCCGCAUGCCCAUCCGCCACCGGAUCGCUCCUUUGGCCACCGGAGGAUGCCCUCCGGUGGCGUCACGGGGUAUUAGGCCGCGUUUCCGCGGGUUAUCCCCCUGUGGCGGCCAGGUUGCAUACGUGUUACUCACCCGUGCGCCGGUCGCCGGCGGG